RNAcentral lists this ribosomal RNA (253 nucleotides) under uncultured bacterium. Its description in RNAcentral is "partial 16S ribosomal RNA". It matches the Rfam family "Bacterial small subunit ribosomal RNA", at positions 524 to 776 of the family's 1533-position model. The record is from RNAcentral.
UACGUAGGGGGCAAGCGUUGUCCGGAAUCAUUGGGCGUAAAGAGCGCGUAGGCGGUCCGGUAAGUCCGCUGUGAAAGUCAAGGGCUCAACCCUUGAAUGCCGGUGGAUACUGUCGGGCUAGAGUCCGGAAGAGGCGAGUGGAAUUCCUGGUGUAGCGGUGAAAUGCGCAGAUAUCAGGAGGAACACCAAUAGCGAAGGCAGCUCGCUGGGACGGUAUUGACGCUGAGGCGCGAAAGCGUGGGGAGCAAACAGG